UCCCAUGACCUGCGAAACCCUCCCCCCGUUCUCUUCCAUUGAACCCUAUUCUCUCAUUCAUUUCAGUCAAUUACUCCAACAAGAAAAAAUCCAAUAACAUACACUAUUAGAAGUCCAAGGAAGUUCUAUUAAUUUCAAUCCAAGGAAAUUCUAUUAAUGUUAGUCCAUGGCUUCUUUGUGACAAGGAAAUUCUGAAAAUUUUUCCAACCAUUAAUGGUGGUCGAACUUUAGCUUAAACUUUUCCAACCAUUAAAGCUUAGCUGAAACUUUAGCUGACUUCUGGCGAUAGUAGUUAAUGGUGAUCGAACUUUUACAGAAGUGAAAUAAAAAAUGAGUUGGAUCUGGGUUCAAAAAUUUUGAUUCAUUUUCAGCGGAAAAGAUGGAGUUUUGGGUGUGUUUUCUAGUUAUAUUUGUUAGUUAAUGGUGGCUUUGUUAUUAAGUAAAAGAUGGAGGAAGAGGUUAUGGUGUUUGGUGGUGAGAGAGGAGGAAGAUAGCCAUGGUAGUUUAGAUGAGGAAGAUGAAGGGAAUAAUUAUAAUUUUAAUUAUUUUAUUUUUUAAAUGACAUGUGUCACUGUUUGAUUGGUGCGUGACCUCACACAUUUCUGGAAAGCUGGUAUAGAAAAAAGUGGUGUAUAAUUGAUACACUUUUGAAAGGUUUGGUAUGUAAAAUUAAAUCCGUGUACUUAAGGUGUGUAAGAGGGAUUUCAUCCAAAGUUCGAUGGGUAGAUUAUAUCCAGGUUCUACACAGGCUAAGUGAGACUUGAUCAGCUGAGCAGGAUCAUUUCCGGGAGUAUCGAGGUAGCUGCACGGCAUUCGCAGCCUAGAUUUCUCCCCUCUAUCUUUAUCUCUAUUUCAUAUUCUCUAUCUAGACAGACUGUAGUAGUUGAAAAUUCUGUAAUAGAGGCUUGGAUUCGUGACACAUGUUCCUUGUGGUCUAUGUUGUAUUAUUUUGGUUAAACUUCCGCAGAUUAUAGCAGUAUUCCUAGAUUUAUGGA
Molecule: non-coding RNA, 995 nt
Organism: Nicotiana tabacum (common tobacco)
Lineage: Eukaryota; Viridiplantae; Streptophyta; Magnoliopsida; Solanales; Solanaceae
Source: RefSeq, a predicted model, not a curated record